Molecule: long non-coding RNA, 913 nt
Filed under: Phascolarctos cinereus (koala)
Lineage: Eukaryota; Metazoa; Chordata; Mammalia; Diprotodontia; Phascolarctidae
Description: lncRNA (ENSPCIG00000035169.1)
Source: RNAcentral
CCAUAAUCACAGCGGGCGAGAGCGGAGACGGGGAGCGAAAAAUCCGGGAUCCGGCAACUUUGGGGCGCGCAUGCGCGCCCGCCGCGCUCCAUCCCAAACACACACACAUUUUUCCCCCGGACUUGGAAAGUCACCCAAAGCCGCCCCAAGUGCAGGACCGACAGACUCCACUGAUUGAAGGCAAAGAUCUCUUCCCCUCCGGUCUCCGUCUCUGCUUAUAGUCAUCGGCCCCUCCUUGCCAAGGGGAAGGUGAAAAACCCCAGCAGGUUGGAAUGGACUUCAGACCCUGGGCCUUCUGGAUGCAAGCCAUACACCCAGGCCACUAAGCCCUCGUGCCCUCGGCAGAUCUCCCGCCAUAGCUGAGGGUGCCCGGCAGCAGCAGCAAGGAUCCAAGCAGAGGAAUCUGGAGUCCUUGGGCUGAUUCAGAAAACAAAUUCCCCUCUCCUGGCCGCUGCCCACCUUGCCGUGACAGCCCCCCGGAUCCCUUCCCGCCAGGAAAGUUUGAAACAAAGCAAAGCAACUUUGGGGAGUGUCCUGGCCCAGCGCAGAGCACUGCUAAUCAGGCUAGCAGGCGUCAGGAGCAGAGGGAGGCGGCCGAGGCAGCCCCCAUGCCUGACUCCAACGGUCCCCCCCAUCCCCUCCGCGCGAGCCCCAUCCUCGCCCGCCUUUGCAGGCGCCUCUUUCGUCAGCUCAGAAUGCAGCUUGGGGCCCAUGGCGGUUCAACCUUUCCCUCUCCCAGAGCCCCGGUCUAAUCAACCCCUAUAAUUUAUGCAGAAAAUAUGAUUUAUAUUUAAUUUCACCACACUUGCAUUGUUAAUUUGAGAUGUAAUUAACCCGUCGCCAUGACAACUAAUUUUGUGAUGCCGUAAAUUACCGCCGUCUUUUCAUCAAAAUUCAGUUACUUUGGCUCCUG